UUUAUGUUAAUGCAAUUUGCCUUUUGCUCACUUGAGCACAUAAUUGUGUAUAUACUAUUGUGCUUGGGUUUUGUUUUGAUUGUUGUGGACAAAAUGCCAAAAUUGACAAAUGGACAUAGACUUUAGGACUUUCCCUAUGCUAAUUUGGAGUCAAAGAGCAACUAGGCCUCAUGCCUUUAGAAUGCUUAAAGCUUGAAGAUGACCUUGAAAGGACCAACUUCUAAA
This 225-nucleotide long non-coding RNA is filed under the name Lathyrus oleraceus (garden pea). RNAcentral's name for it is "Pisum sativum (pea) long non-coding RNA (PSAT_LNC002592)". Lineage: Eukaryota; Viridiplantae; Streptophyta; Magnoliopsida; Fabales; Fabaceae. The record is from RNAcentral.